This is a long non-coding RNA of Aethalodelphis obliquidens (Pacific white-sided dolphin), 2313 nucleotides long. RefSeq lists it as uncharacterized. NCBI's taxonomy places the organism in Eukaryota, Metazoa, Chordata, Mammalia, Artiodactyla, Delphinidae. The transcript has 2 exons. The record is from RefSeq and is a predicted model, not a curated record.
GGACCAGGAGCUCAGUGGGUGACGGGUAGGCGGCCCGCCCCGCGUGCGCAUGCGCGCUUACUCGCGGGGAGGCGCGCUCGAGGUGUGCGUGCAGCGGCCCCGUGCUCCCUGGAGGGGGCGUGUCCUUUCGCCGCCAGCUGGGUCCCGGAGGGUCUACGUCCGCAAGCGUCUGGGAUCGCGUGGCUGUGAGGAGGGGAGGUUCGCACCGUGCGGCGGGCUCCACCUACCUGCAGACAGAUGGAGGGUCACUUUGUUCGGAGGAAACUCAGGCACCCGAGGGAGGAUGUGAAACGGAACAACCCGUUUCUGUGCGGUUGGCUUUGUUUAUUUGCCUCCUCACUAGAGGCCUCCUACCCCUGACGCCACCGACCCCGAGAGGAGGCGAUCAGCUGCUAUGGCCGUUGCGGCCAGACGGGGUCGCCCGCCCCGUUCCGCACAGGCAGGCCCUGCGGCGCACCAUGGCCUGCGAUUGCCCGACCUGGUUGCACGCAUUCCUGUUUCACGGGAAACAUUCUCAGCAUUGCAGAAGGGAAACCUAGCUUUGGGUUUUGACAGUAGAAGCACGUAUAUGUGUCUUAAAGGCCACAAACACGGUAGAGACUUGUUUAUUCAUUCAACAAAUUUGUCGAGUGCCUAUUGCAUGCCGGGUGAACUGUAGGCUUAGACUACAGCCCUGAUCAGCCAAGACACCUUGCCUGUCCUCAUGGAGCUUUCGGAGCACCAUGUACUCACCUCUAAAAUACACACCACCUGUGAAUUUUCCAUACUUUCUGGAUUGUAAAAUGCCCUGGAUGAAUAUUAACAUGAAGAUGGAGAUGGAACCUCAUGACAAGAAUGAAGGUGAACAUGAUGUGGAAAAUAUGAAGUCUAUGCUAAGGAUCCUGGAGCAGAAUGAGAGGAGAAGCCUGGGUCAUUCAGGCUGCAACAGCCCUAGAGUGGCUACCCGUGGACUUAGUAAGUCUGAAAAAUAAACCCCAAUUUGGUUAAACUGUUUUCUGUUAUGUGUAGCUAAACAUAUUCUUGGCUAAUACAUAAACUGUCAUAAGUUAUCUUCUAACUAGUCUUCCUGCUUGCAGGCUCUACCAGUUAGACAGCAGCAGCAUGAUCUAGUAUGUCAGAAAUAUAAGAGCUAUCACAAAGCAAUACAUCAACUCCUAUAGCAUUUGCUGCCAAUUCCAGAUAUGCCAAAUUAUAUGAUUAAGAAAUACAUGUUUAUUAAAGAAAAAAUAGAAAGUAGAGAGGAGACAUAAGACUACCCAUAGUUGAAACUUCUCAAGUCCCAUUUUAACAUUUUCCUAUAGUUAUGCUGUCUUAUUUUAUUCACAGGUUUUUCACAAUAACAUUACAGUGUAUUCCUAUUUUACCUAACACUAUAUUAUAAGCAGUUUUCCAUGUUAACACAUGGAAACAAAUAGCUUUUAAACAAAUAGCUGUUUAACAUUCCAAGUAACUAUAAUAAGUUUUACCUAACUCGUUUCUUGUCACUGAACUUAAUUCACUUUUUAAAAAAAUCAUUCAUUCACUGAGUAUCUACUACAUUCAAGUCACUGGAUUAAAUAUUAUCCAGUAAGAAGUGGCUCCUAUUUGAACGCUCUUCACAACUACAAAAGACAAAACAUAACAUUCGACAUAUAUAGCAUAUGCAUGUGCACACUUUCUGUAUGUGGCCCUAAGCCAUUUAAUUGCUUUUAAAUAUGCUUAUAGGAUUGAAAUAUUCUAAUUACCUUUCCAUGUACUCCUUUUAUUGAUCAUUUCUGUUAUCCUUGUCUGCUGGAUUUGCUUUAGCGUGACUGAUCAGUGCAGUAUAGCACUUCCAAUGAACAACUUAUGUAAAAGCUGAGACCACCUGAAAUUUCAAGUGACCAAAGACCUCCUGUUUUCAUUUUUAUUAACAGAAUACGUGCUUCAAAGUGUUAAUAACUCUUUCUUCCUUUCUGUUUUCACAAUUAUCAGUAAUACUUAAUUCCCCAACAACCUUCUGGUGGAAAGAUAAUCAUUUCUGGUUACCACACCAAGAAGGAAACUGACUAGCAUGACUCAGAGAGUCAUUAAAGACCUGAGAUUUGAAAGGAGAGGCCUUGGCUCUUAGCAAUGCUGUUCUGAGAACACAGCCAAUUUGCAUAAAUGGCAGAUUGACAAUUCCUUAUCUGUGAGUGCUAAGUCCAAGCUAUAAUUUUUUCUAUGUACAUAAGGAAAACUGAUUUUCUAACUCAAAGUGCAUGUAUGUACUGUAUUCAAAGUGAAAGAAAAGACGAAUUGAUAUUAUGCAACUGAAUUACUGAUGUUUUAAAACAUAAAACCUAUUAUUGAAAA